This is a non-coding RNA of Phalacrocorax carbo (great cormorant), 1912 nucleotides long. The record is from RefSeq and is a predicted model, not a curated record. Lineage: Eukaryota; Metazoa; Chordata; Aves; Suliformes; Phalacrocoracidae.
UGAAAGUCCACUCCACUGCACAGUGUGUAAAUGUGAGAUCAGCGAUCAUGGGAGCGCUCUGCACACUGUUGGCACUGCUCCACCUGCUCCACCUUUCUGUCCAGAUUCCUACAAGGAAAGUCCUGCUUCCCAUCCCAGAGAGGAGAGUCGUGUAUUUCCAAGCACCUCCAGGUAACGGUUCAUAACAGCCAACCACAUGCUGCUACUCAGGAGCGCAGGAGGUGUCUGCGUUGACUUUCAAGCACCUGGUGAGACCAUUCUGGGGUCUCAGAAAGACGACAAGCUAUGGCAUUUCAACACUGAAUUGAAAAGAAGAACUUGGUGUCAUGAUAACCGAACUAAAUGAUUUGCCGUUUUUCAUUGUCUUCCACAGAUUCUGCACUGGACUUUCAAAAGGAUGCGGCUAUCACAUGGUUACAUUAGAGCCAUUUUAAACACUUUCCAAAUUAUUUCUGUGCAGCUUCUAUGACUUCUGGCAAAAGAAAUAGCAAUAUGAUGCAAAUAAGCACUGGCUAACCGAUUUCCGGAUUGUAAUGCAAAUGUAUUUCUAAGAUCUCUACAAAUAUAUAGAGCAAUAAUAAGGCAUAUGCAUUACCAAAUGUCCUUAGCAUUUCAGAAUGUCCUGGAUGUCCAUGAAGGAAGCUGCUCUUAAAGCAAUUUUUCUUAACAUGUUUUUAUCUUGUGGACAUAUGCAAUGGUUGUAGACUCUAUUUGUAGUAUUUAUAGAGGGCUGGUGCUCUAAGGCUUGAAUUCUACACAUGAUUUGGGAUCUGAAAGGAAAGGUAAAUUUUUUAAACGCUUCUGAAGACAUGACAUAAACAAGAAAGACUUGUAUGCUUUUCAAAAAAUUAUUUUUGUUAGAUUUGAAAAACCAUGACAGGCGGGUAGCAAGUCCCAGUUCAAAGGCUAACAGUUAUUUAUAGCUUAAAAGAAUACAUGAAGAAUUAACAAACAUGUUCCCUCAACCAGUUUCUUCUGGCAAUAAUGAGCAGUGCAUAAGUAAACUGUGUGGGCGCAUAGGGAGUUCAUAGCCCCGUUUCAUUAUUGGAGCCAUAGCUCCUGCUGAUCACAGCGCAUCGCUGCCUCUUCCAACACCGCAGCCUUCUACUGCACGCGUUGACUUUGUGGAAAUCUGACUCCAUAGGCUUUAUUGGUACUCAUUACUCACAUGUAAUUAUCACUGAGAGGAGGACUGGGUUUUGAAAGUAGUUGGGUUCUGCUGAGUGAGAGUCCAGGCUGCAAAGGGUUGGAGUGAAACCUGUUUCACCUCCUGAACAUAAUUGACUGUCAGUCUCUAGCCACAAAAUGAAAACUUUAUUCUCUCACCACGAUUUUAACCUCUGUCUACAAUUUUCUCUUACUUGCUCUGUUUGUGUGUCACGCUUUACAUAUAUGACCUUAUUAUCUUUUUGCCAAACUCAGGAUGACUUGCAAGUGCUUUUCCUCUUUUUUCUGGGGGGGUAAGGCUGUUCAAGGGGCAGUAUCUAUGAAAAGGAUUUACAUUUCUGUGUUUUUCUGGAGGCAGACAGGAAAAGAUCAAAGUAGUUCUUCAGGAUUUUUUAACUUCACAGGCAUAAUAUAUGCCACACACGAUAUAUUGCCAAAAUAGACUUCGCCAAGGGAAUGCAUGUCUGUUGUUCUUUGUGGCUUCUUAAACAGUUUUAAAACUUCCUAAUCUUGUGAUAAGAAACUAAUUCUGUUUUUUCCAGUCACAUGGAGUGGGCAAUUCUAAAGUUAGGUACAUGGCAACAUUUGCUCUGAAAUGCCUUAUUAUGCAUCUUAAUGUUAUAACUGGUGACUAGAUGGAAUACGGAUGGCCUUGUUAAAAGACUGCUUUUAAGAAGUAAUUACUGUUUUUUCUCUUCAAGCAACAGGUGGUCUGUCUUUUAUUAAAUUUUGAGGAGGUCCCCUG